This 821-nucleotide ribosomal RNA is filed under the name uncultured marine bacterium. RNAcentral describes it as "bacterial SSU rRNA". It matches the Rfam family "Bacterial small subunit ribosomal RNA", at positions 56 to 890 of the family's 1533-position model. The record is from RNAcentral.
UGCAAGUCGAACGAGAAGCCCGAUUUCGAUUGGGUGGAGAGUGGCGAACGGGUGAGUAACACGUAACGGACCUGCCCCAGAGAGUGGGACAACAGGUGGAAACACGCGCUAAUACCACAUAAGCUCACGUGCUUUAGAAAAGCGUGAGAAAAAGCUGAGGUGCUUUGGGAGGGCGUUGCGGUCCAUCAGCUAGUUGGUGAGGUAGCGGCUCACCAAGGCGACGACGGAUAGGGGACCUGAGAGGGUGACCCCCCACACUGGGACUGAGACACGGCCCAGACUCCUACGGGAGGCAGCAGUGAGGAAUAUUGCCCAAUGGACGCAAGUCUGAGGCAGCGACGCCGCGUGGGUGAAGAAGGUUUUCGAAUCGUAAAGCCCUUUUCUAGGUGACGAGAACGGACGGUAGCCUAGGAAAAAGUGUCGGCUAACUACGUGCCAGCAGCCGCGGUAAAACGUAGGACGCAAGCGUUAUCCGGAGUUACUGGGCGUAAAGCGCGUGCAGGCGGUUGGGUAAGUUACCUAUGAAAGCUUCCGGCUAAACUGGAAGAGGCUAGGUGAAACUGCCGAACUAGAGAGUGAGAGAGGGAUGUGGAAUUCCAGGUGUAGUGGUGAAAUGCGUAGAGAUCUGGAGGAACACCAGUGGCGAAGGCGACAUCCUGGCUCACCACUGACGCUGAGACGCGAAAGCGUGGGUAGCGAACGGGAUUAGAAACCCCGGUAGUCCACGCCGUAAACGAUGCACACUAGACGUUCGGUUUCCUACGGGGGAUUGAGUGUCGGAGCUAACGCGGUAAGUGUGCCGCCUGGGGAGUACGGUCGCA